UAUGUGAAGCUGACCAAUACUAAUUGCUCGUGAGGCUUGACUAUACAACACCCA
RNAcentral lists this ribosomal RNA (54 nucleotides) under Acinetobacter baumannii ABNIH22. RNAcentral's name for it is "partial 23S ribosomal RNA". The record is from RNAcentral. Lineage: Bacteria; Pseudomonadati; Pseudomonadota; Gammaproteobacteria; Moraxellales; Moraxellaceae.